CAGUCGCCGCGGGAAUACGUAGGCAGCAAGCGUUGUUCGGAAUUACUGGGCGUAAAGAGUGUGUAGGCGGUGCUCUAAGUUCGGUGUGAAAUCUCCCGGCUCAACUGGGAGGGUGCGCCGGAAACUGGAGUGCUCGAGCGUGGGAGAGGAAAGCGGAAUUCCUGGUGUAGCGGUGAAAUGCGUAGAUAUCAGGAGGAACACCUGUGGUGUAGACGGCUUUCUGGACCAUUGCUGACGCUGAGACACGAAAGCGUGGGUAGCAAACAGGAUCAGAUACCCCUGUAGUCCCUGUCUCUUAUAA
RNAcentral lists this ribosomal RNA (301 nucleotides) under uncultured bacterium. RNAcentral describes it as "partial 16S ribosomal RNA". It matches the Rfam family "Bacterial small subunit ribosomal RNA", at positions 509 to 809 of the family's 1533-position model. The record is from RNAcentral.